CGCCAGGGUAUUACGAGCCUCAGCUUAAAACCCAAAGGACUUGACGGUGUCCCACCCAUCUAGAGGAGCCUGUUCUAUAAUCGAUACCCCCCGCUAUACCCUACCACUUUUAGCCUAUCAGCCUGUAUACCUCCGUCGUAAGUUUACCGUGUGAACGUCUAUAGUGAGCUAAAUGACUUUUCGCCAAUACGUCAGGUCAAGGUGCAGCCCAUGAAGUGGCAAGCAAUGGGCUACAAUUUCUAACCUAGAACAAACGGAUGAACUGUAAUGAAACAGUUUAGAAGGAGGAUUUAGUAGUAAAAAGAAAACAUAAGUGUUCUUUUUAAUUUGGCACUGGGACGUGU
Molecule: ribosomal RNA, 344 nt
Filed under: Petropedetes perreti (Perret's water frog)
Lineage: Eukaryota; Metazoa; Chordata; Amphibia; Anura; Petropedetidae
Description: partial 12S ribosomal RNA
Rfam family: Bacterial small subunit ribosomal RNA
Source: RNAcentral